UGGGGAAUAUUGGACAAUGGGCGAAAGCCUGAUCCAGCAAUGCCGCGUGAGUGAUGAAGGCCUUAGGGUUGUAAAGCUCUUUCGGCGGGGACGAUGAUGACGGUACCCGCAGAAGAAGCCCCGGCUAACUUCGUGCCAGCAGCCGCGGUAAUACGAAGGGGGCAAGCGUUGUUCGGAAUUACUGGGCGUAAAGGGCGCGUAGGCGGCUCUAGAAGUCAGACGUGAAAGCCCCGGGCUUAACCUGGGAACUGCACUUGAUACUCCAGAGCUUGAGUUCGGGAGAGGAGAGUGGAAUUCCCAGUGUAGAGGUGAAAUUCGUAGAUAUUGGGAAGAACACCAGUGGCGAAGGCGGCUCUCUGGACCGAUACUGACGCUGAGGCGCGAAAGCGUGGGGAGCAAACAGGAUUAGAUACCCCGGUAGUCC
Molecule: ribosomal RNA, 424 nt
Filed under: uncultured bacterium
Lineage: Bacteria
Description: bacterial SSU rRNA
Rfam family: Bacterial small subunit ribosomal RNA
Source: RNAcentral